CCCUUAGAUGUUCUGGGCCGCACGCGUGCUACACUGACCGGCGCAACAAGCUUUUUUCCUUGGCUCGACAGGCCUGGGUAAUCUUCGAACGCCGGUCGUGAUGGGGAUAGAUCCUUGCAAUUUUUGAUCUUCAACGAGGAAUUCCUAGUAAAUGCGAGUCAUCAUCUCGCGUUGAUUACGUCCCUGCCCUUUGUACACACCGCCCGUCGCACCUACCGAUUGAAUGGUCCGGUGAAGCCUCCGGAUUGGCGCGCACCUCGGUGCCGCCGAGAAGUUGGCUAAACCUUACCAUUUAGAGGAAGGUGAAGUCGUAACA
RNAcentral lists this ribosomal RNA (316 nucleotides) under uncultured eukaryote. RNAcentral describes it as "partial 18S ribosomal RNA". It matches the Rfam family "Eukaryotic small subunit ribosomal RNA", at positions 1470 to 1796 of the family's 1831-position model. The record is from RNAcentral.